AACGAACGCUGGCGGCAGGCUUAACACAUGCAAGUCGAGCGCCUCGCAAGAGGAGCGGCAGACGGGUGAGUAACACGUGGGAAUCUACCCAUCCCUGCGGAACAACUCCGGGAAACUGGAGCUAAUACCGCAUACGCCCUACGGGGGAAAGAUUUAUCGGGGAUGGAUGAGCCCGCGUUGGAUUAGCUAGUUGGUGGGGUAAAGGCCUACCAAGGCGACGAUCCAUAGCUGGUCUGAGAGGAUGAUCAGCCACAUUGGGACUGAGACACGGCCCAAACUCCUACGGGAGGCAGCAGUGGGGAAUAUUGGACAAUGGGCGCAAGCCUGAUCCAGCCAUGCCGCGUGAGUGAUGAAGGCCUUAGGGUUGUAAAGCUCUUUCACCGAUGAAGAUAAUGACGGUAGUCGGAGAAGAAGCCCCGGCUAACUUCGUGCCAGCCGCCGCCGUAAAAC
Molecule: ribosomal RNA, 450 nt
Filed under: uncultured bacterium
Lineage: Bacteria
Description: bacterial SSU rRNA
Rfam family: Bacterial small subunit ribosomal RNA
Source: RNAcentral